Molecule: long non-coding RNA, 1677 nt
Filed under: Triticum aestivum (bread wheat)
Lineage: Eukaryota; Viridiplantae; Streptophyta; Magnoliopsida; Poales; Poaceae
Description: long non-coding RNA (TAES_LNC017119)
Source: RNAcentral
AGGCACAGGCUCCAUGGCGUCUCCUCCUCCAAGCGCCUCCCUUCUGCCAAGCUCCACCAGGAGAUCCUCCGCCUGGUCUACGGCACACCGUCAAGCACCCAUGCCGAUGGCACCUCAUCCCCUCCGGCUUUUCCACUCCCCUCCUAAUGCAAAUGGAAUUUGUCUGUAGUAGGUAGUAUCUACUUACCUCGCAUGACACAACACAUAAUGUGGAGAAGCUGGACCUAAAGAGGACAUUUUCAAUGUACGACUCUAUAUGCAAGACAUACAGAAGUCAUUUUCAAUGAGACUAUCUACAAUUGUUAUUCUCAAGACUGAAUCAGGUAGUGAGCUACAUGAAGAAUUGAUGGCAUGCACAUAAACCAUGACAUAAUUUGGGCCCAACAAUGCGUAAUUUGUCUCUGAACUUUCUUAACAAGCAGACACUUUUUCUUAUCCUAUCAAUGUCGUAAUAUUACAACAAUAAACAACUACCAUGGUAUGAAACAUCAACGUGAGAGGGAUAAGACAAAUACGCAAACGCAAUGUGCAACUAAGCAAAAUAAUAUGCCAGGGUAUCGAUUCCUGUAGUGAAUAAUAACACCAACCGCAUGAACAAUGGCACUUGCCUAGCCGUACGCCGGCAAUCGGGCCACACUAACGCCAGUGAUACAAGGGAUGGGGAACGGCGGGGCGGAUGAGCACAAUCCGGAUAUGUGGAGAAGCCACGGUCGAUGGCAUCUGGUCAAUGUUGGGCUUAACAGGGUAGCAUAUGGAGGCAUCAAGUCAAGUCUUCCUUUUUUGUGUGGGGAAAAUCAAAUCUUACUUAAAUAAUUUAUACUUUACACCACAUGUAUUAUUGAUCUCUAACCGCCGCCACUUUGGCAAGAAACUCAGCUUGUUGGCUUCAGAUUGCUUGCAAAAUUGGAUUAAAGCAAUCACCUGCAAAAAUACAGCACGCUAGCUUCAAAUCGCUUGCAAAAAAACGACAGUGUACUUGAGGACAGUACAUAUCAUUGCACACUAAUCAUAGGAGGGCAAAUAAGCUACUUUAAGUUGAAUUGAAGUACUCAAAUUAGAGCUAGUGCAGUAUGCCACAAAGAAAAUAUUGUUUGUCGAGCCAAACCACAUUAAAAAAAAGAAAGGAAGCAUUAGAAGAUUGGAGUUAAUAGUUUGUACCUUCUUCAGCUUGCAUAAUUGAAUUGAAGUAAUAAGCUUUUGUUUCGUUGCCAUGGCAUGCCCAGUGCAUCUCCAAUCCUCCCUAUUAUUUCCUCCUUUGACAACAACCAUAAGUAACAAACCAUGGCAAUAAGGAUACAUACAUUUAGGACAAUAAAAUCUAAGUAAUUGCAUAUUAAAGAACUAAGAGAUGUGCUUUUGCAGUCCAAGAUACUAACCAGGCCUUGUGAACAAUUUGCGAAUACAUACAAAUACCAGAACCACGGCCUCCAUAAAUUAUCCAAAGAAAUAGACCAGAAUGGAUGAACACUUGGAUUGGUAGCACCUGAAAAUAGUAAGAUCGACAAAAGCUUCGUCAGUUAGAAGAAUCAGGACGAACACUCGUGCGCUGGACCGAGGCUUGUAGCCAAGGUCUGCCUCGCUUUAGAUAGAGUCAAGGGACAGUGUGGACACCAGCGGCUGGGACAUGAUAAGAAGCAGCAUAUCCGUAAGGAGGUGGAGCAGGCAACACACGAGGCG